Molecule: ribosomal RNA, 463 nt
Filed under: uncultured bacterium
Lineage: Bacteria
Description: partial 16S ribosomal RNA
Rfam family: Bacterial small subunit ribosomal RNA
Source: RNAcentral
GACGAACGCUGGCGGCGUGCUUAACACAUGCAAGUCGAACGGUGAACCUCUUCGGAGGGGAUCAGUGGCGAACGGGUGAGUAACACGUGGGCAACCUGCCCCCGGCUCUGGGAUAACUCCAAGAAAUUGGGGCUAAUACCGGAUGUUCACCGCUUCCCGCAUGGGUGGUGGUGGAAAGGGUUUCCGGCUGGGGAUGGGCCCGCGGCCUAUCAGCUUGUUGGUGGGGUAGUGGCCUACCAAGGCGACGACGGGUAGCCGGCCUGAGAGGGUGACCGGCCACACUGGGACUGAGACACGGCCCAGACUCCUACGGGAGGCAGCAGUGGGGAAUAUUGCGCAAUGGGCGGAAGCCUGACGCAGCGACGCCGCGUGGGGGAUGACGGCCUUCGGGUUGUAAACCUCUUUCAGCAGGGACGAAGCGCAAGUGACGGUACCUGCAGAAGAAGCAUCGGCCAACUACGUG